Molecule: long non-coding RNA, 303 nt
Filed under: Lathyrus oleraceus (garden pea)
Lineage: Eukaryota; Viridiplantae; Streptophyta; Magnoliopsida; Fabales; Fabaceae
Description: Pisum sativum (pea) long non-coding RNA (PSAT_LNC039873)
Source: RNAcentral
UUUGUUUUGCAGCUGGAAUUGUUAUUGAGGAGAAGAACUGGCCACCAUUUUUCCCAAUUAUUCAUCAUGAUAUCGCAAAUGAAAUUCCAAUUCACCUUCGAACAUUGCAGUAUGUUGCAUUUUUUAUCAUCAUGAUAUCGCAAAUGAAAUUCCAAUUCACCUUCGAACAUUGCAGUAUGUUGCAUUUUUUUCGUUGUUAGGUAAGUUAUCUGAUCCUGUUUUCUUCUUGUGGGGAAGGUUAUUGGUAGAGCAAGGUAGUACUGUGUUGGAAAUACCUUCAUCGCGGUCCGCCCCUAGUUGUCU